CCUACGGGUGGCAGCAGUGAGGAAUAUUGGUCAAUGGGCGUAAGCCUGAACCAGCCAAGCCGCGUGAGGGAUGAAGGUCCUAUGGAUCGUAAACCUCUUUUGUAAGGGAAUAAAGUCCGGGACGUGUCCCGCAUUGAAUUUACCUUAUGAAUAAGGAUCGGCUAACUCCGUGCCAUCAGCCGCGGUACUACGGAGGAGCCGAGCGUUAACCGGAUUUAUUGGGUUUAAAGGGUUCGUAGGCGGCCUUUUAAGUCAGCUGUGAAAGCCUCUGGCUCAACCAUAGAAGUGCCGUUGAAACUGGCAGGCUGGAGUAGGUUAGAGGCAGGCGGAAUGCGAGGUGUAGCGGUGAAAUGCUUAGAUAUCACGCAGAACCCCGAUUGCGAAGGCAGCGUGC
Molecule: ribosomal RNA, 394 nt
Filed under: uncultured bacterium
Lineage: Bacteria
Description: partial 16S ribosomal RNA
Rfam family: Bacterial small subunit ribosomal RNA
Source: RNAcentral